Molecule: ribosomal RNA, 465 nt
Filed under: Vreelandella stevensii
Lineage: Bacteria; Pseudomonadati; Pseudomonadota; Gammaproteobacteria; Oceanospirillales; Halomonadaceae
Description: partial 16S ribosomal RNA
Rfam family: Bacterial small subunit ribosomal RNA
Source: RNAcentral
CCUACGGGGGGCUGCAGUGGGGAAUAUUGGCCAAUGGGGGCAACCCUGAUCCAGCCAUGCCGCGUGUGUGAAGAAGGCCCUCGGGUUGUAAAGCACUUUCAGUGAGGAAGAACGCCUGGUGGUUAAUACCCAUCAGGAAAGACAUCACUCACAGAAGAAGCACCGGCUAACUCCGUGCCAGCAGCCGCGGUAAUACGGAGGGUGCGAGCGUUAAUCGGAAUUACUGGGCGUAAAGCGCGCGUAGGUGGCUUGAUAAGCCGGUUGUGAAAGCCCCGGGCUCAACCUGGGAACGGCAUCCGGAACUGUCAAGCUUGAGUGCAGGAGAGGAAGGUAGAAUUCCCGGUGUAGCGGUGAAAUGCGUAGAGAUCGGGAGGAAUACCAGUGGCGAAGGCGGCCUUCUGGACUGACACUGACACUGAGGUGCGAAAGCGUGGGUAGCAAACAGGAUUAGAUACCCUAGUAGUC